ACUCAAAUGAAUUGACGGGGGCCCGCACAAGCGGUGGAUCAUGUGGUUUAAUUCGAAGCAACGCGAAGAACCUUACCUGGGUUUGACAUCCCUUUGAACAUUUUUAGAGAUAGAAGUGGGCUCGCAAGAGACAGAGGAGACAGGUGCUGCAUGGCUGUCGUCAGCUCGUGUUGUGAAAUGUUGGGUUAAGUCCCGCAACGAGCGCAACCCCUGUUUUUGGUUGCCAUCAUUUAAGUUGGGCACUCCAGAAAGACUGCCGUCGUUAAGACGGAGGAAGGUGGGGAUGACGUCAAGUCCUCAUGGCCUUUAUAUCCAGGGCGACACACGUGAUACAAUGGUAGGUACAGAGGGUAGCGAAGUAGCGAUACGGAGCCAAUCUCAAAAAGCCUAUCUCAGUUCGGAUUGAAGUCUGCAACUCGACUUCAUGAAGUUGGAAUCGCUAGUAAUCGCGGAUCAGCACGCCGCGGUGAAUACGUUCCCGGGCCUUGUACACACCGCCCGU
This 502-nucleotide ribosomal RNA is filed under the name uncultured bacterium. RNAcentral's name for it is "partial 16S ribosomal RNA". It matches the Rfam family "Bacterial small subunit ribosomal RNA", at positions 899 to 1397 of the family's 1533-position model. The record is from RNAcentral.